This 87-nucleotide transfer RNA is filed under the name Campylobacteraceae bacterium. RNAcentral's name for it is "tRNA-Leu". It matches the Rfam family "tRNA". From Rfam's summary of the family: Transfer RNA (tRNA) molecules are approximately 80 nucleotides in length. Lineage: Bacteria; Pseudomonadati; Campylobacterota; Epsilonproteobacteria; Campylobacterales; Campylobacteraceae. The record is from RNAcentral.
GCCCGGAUGGCGGAAUGGUAGACGCAAGGGACUUAAAAUCCCUCGAACGUUUUGUUCGUGCCGGUUCAAGUCCGGCUCCGGGCACCA